UAAAACUAGCCAAAAAAGUUCCACUGCUCGCACGAGCGAGUGAGCAGCGAUGCACCUAGAGAGCCCUCGAGCGAGAACCCCACUGUCGUCUCCCUUAGAUGCAGCCGCCCACCGAAUCAAAUCGCACUACCAGCCUCGUCUGCCUUGCCGUGCCUGCGUCCCUCCCCGGACGGCAGCGACGAUGGAGGAAGCCACUGGCGCUGGCCAGGCCCCCGGUCGAUGGACGCGGCGGAUCGUCGCUCCUCAGGGCCAGCCCCUCCCAUUGCGCUGGAUCACGUGGCAGCCUAGGUUGACGAUAGGAGAUGAAGUACGUUUGAACAAACAUGUUCUUUCACUUUUCCCAACGAGGUGGAGCUUGCACAUAUGGACAUAUGGUACACUUGCACGGGUUGCAAGGGUAGGAUGAAGUUGCUGAGGAUGCACGUGUACCCGAGGAACAAGUACCACCCGCCGCUGCAGAUGACGAGGUUGGGAAAGGGCGCCAACUGCGAGAACGUCUUCAGUACCAUGGUCUAUCUCUCACCCAAAGGUUCCACUCAAUCGAUGCAUUAACUGAUGUACUCCAGUUCCAUUACCCGAGGAACUAAUAUGGCAUAUUUUGUUUUCUGCAACAUGGUGGGUUGGGAACUCGGGAUGAAGGAAGAAUACUCCUGAGAGCCCAAACUCGAGCUUCCAAAAGAUAUGCGUAAUUAUGCUGAAGGUUGAUACUGAGGCUGUCACUAUGAAGAAUAUUUGCCUCUCAGUUUAAAUUCCUCGGUAAAGAUUCGGAGGUAGGACCACAUGAACAAGCAGGUUGUUGUCCAAGCAUAGUUGCUACUGCAAGAGCCAGCAUCAGACAACAUCCGAUCUAUACAAAAUCCAUCCAUCUGUCUCGUCUCAUGCAUGCAUAACCAGGACGAUGGUAACUUGUCUACUAUUCUACUCACUGCAGUUUACGAUAAUUUGUCUACUACUCUACUUAAGCUUGAGGGUGAAGUGGACGAUAAGUUGUAUUAUUGACCAAGUAUAUCUUGUUCAUAAGCCUAAGAUUUGCAUACACCAUAGAAGCCGUAUAUAUCUUUGAGAUGAUCAGUCCAUGGCUGAUAUUGCUAGAGCAGGAGGGCGAGGCAGUGGCAAAGGUAGUCAGUGUGUUUAGAUCUUGAACCAGUUUGGGCUUGCCCAUCUGAGUGCCGGCGAUCUUCUUUGCAAAAAAGUUAAAUCCGAGCAAGGGUAACAAUCUGCUCUCAGUGUAUUUCAACCCUCAUUUAAGCAUAUCACAUUCCACUUUCAUUUUAUUUAUUUACUUUUAAGAGCUCUGCUUUAGGGUUCGGUGUCGUAUUUGUAUCAUCUUUAUAUAACCUUUUUUGUUUAGAAACAAAAGUUGCGUGUGCAAUGUUGAAGCUUGUUA
Triticum aestivum (bread wheat) is the source of this 1387-nucleotide long non-coding RNA. RefSeq lists it as uncharacterized. Lineage: Eukaryota; Viridiplantae; Streptophyta; Magnoliopsida; Poales; Poaceae. The record is from RefSeq and is a predicted model, not a curated record. The transcript is spliced from 5 exons.